RNAcentral lists this long non-coding RNA (1096 nucleotides) under Fukomys damarensis (Damara mole-rat). RNAcentral describes it as "lncRNA (ENSFDAG00000032412.1)". Lineage: Eukaryota; Metazoa; Chordata; Mammalia; Rodentia; Bathyergidae. The record is from RNAcentral.
CAUUUCCACAUCUGAGGACGGGGCUAACAGCAUGUCUCCUCCACAGGACUGUCCUGAUGACCAGAUGAGUUCCUACGUGAAGAAUUCAGAGGGCAGGACUGGCCAAGAAGUGAUCAUUCAGGGUUCCUGUCAGCCCCUGAGCUGGUCUCUCUGUCUUAGAAGACCUGGCUUUCCUCUUUCUGGGGGGCCUGGAGGACAUAAAGAAAGGAGCUUGGGAACAGUCAGGGAAAUCAAGGAGGGAAGUCCAUGCAGACCUCGAUUCCAGAUUCUCUGCAAUUGCUGGAUACCUCACAGUUUCUCCCAAUGCUGCUUCCUGAAUAAGGCAAUCUGGAUAAAGAGGUGUUGGCCUAGCAGGAAAGCAGUGAAAAAUGAGCUUCCCUUGGCUCCAGUCCAUGGAGCACCCCACGCUGCUAAGACAAGGCAGAAGAAGGAAUGGCUCUUACAACUUCAUGCACAUAUUUGGAGGUCUUGACUCAGUCCGCUGACCACAUUCCAAGAACCCAGCAGUGCCGCCAUGGAGGGUGACCCCUGGGGCAAGGCUGCUCUGGGAUAUGUUGAAAAUUGCCCAAGAGCUUCCAGCAAUGCUGGUGGUGUAACAUGUAUAUACAAGAGCUCAACAUCUUGAAAAUCCAUCUGGGUGCUGAGUUGGGUAAAUAGAAGUAAUGACUUCUGUGGCUCUGCGUGUUAAUGUGGCUAGAAGUUUCGUGACAGUGCUCGCUCAUGGGCCUGACUUGCCAUCAUUGGGCAGGUUUGGGUGGCCGUCCAUCGAACCAGUCUGCCAGGAGGAUAAUACUCAUGCUGUGAGCACCAGGGCAGGGAAGAGAGGCUCUUGUCAGCUAUGAGCUGGGAGACACAGGCGCAUCCAUUCGCUCUCCCGCCCUCCACACAAUCAGGAUGUGAAUUUGAUCCAGAAUUUCCUAUUAACUUUGCUCCCUCUGUGAUAGACCAUGGACACCUUUAGGUUCCCAAGAGAUGCUGGAUCAACUUCAUCCUUUCUCAAUAAGCUCAGGAGUGGUGCGAUCCUGUACGCCGUUCCAGUUCCUGGCAUCUCAGCCCUAGGAGGGGACAGGCUGUGACUAAGCCCCCUUGCAUGUUC